Molecule: ribosomal RNA, 432 nt
Filed under: uncultured bacterium
Lineage: Bacteria
Description: partial 16S ribosomal RNA
Rfam family: Bacterial small subunit ribosomal RNA
Source: RNAcentral
AACGAACGCUGGCGGCAUGCCUAACACAUGCAAGUCGAACGAGACCUUCGGGUCUAGUGGCGCACGGGUGCGUAACGCGUGGGAACCUGCCCUUAGGUUCGGAAUAACUCCCCGAAAGGGGUGCUAAUACCGGAUAAUGUCUUCGGACCAAAGAUUUAUCGCCUUUGGAUGGGCCCGCGUUGGAUUAGCUAGUUGGUAGGGUAAAAGCCUACCAAGGCGACGAUCCAUAGCUGGUCUGAGAGGAUGAUCAGCCACACUGGGACUGAGACACGGCCCAGACCCAGAGGGGAGGGAGGGGGGGGAAAAAUGGGAAAGGGGGCAAGAGCCAGAAACAAAAAGGCCGGGUGAGGGAAGAGGGCGUUGGGGUUGAAAAUCUCUUUUCCAGGGGAGGAAAAGGAGAGAACGGGGAAAAAAACCCCGGCAAAACCCGGU